UGGGGAAUUUUUCCGCAAUGGGCGAAAGCCUGACGGAGCAAUGCCGCGUGGAGGUGGAAGGCCUACGGGUCGUCAACUUCUUUUCUCGGAGAAGAAACAAUGACGGUAUCUGAGGAAUAAGCAUCGGCUAACUCUGUGCUAG
RNAcentral lists this ribosomal RNA (142 nucleotides) under uncultured bacterium. RNAcentral describes it as "partial 16S rRNA". It matches the Rfam family "Bacterial small subunit ribosomal RNA", at positions 355 to 511 of the family's 1533-position model. The record is from RNAcentral.